CCCUUAGAUGUUCUGGGCCGCACGCGCGCUACACUGAUGCAUUCAACGAGCCUAUCCUUGACCGACAGGUCCGGGUAAUCUUUGAAUCUGCAUCGUGACGGGGAUAGAUUAUUGCAAUUAUUAAUCUUCAACGAGGAAUGCCUAGUAGACGCAAGUCAUCAGCUUGCGUCGAUUACGUCCCUGCCCUUUGUACACACCGCCCGUCGCUCCUACCGAUUGGGUGUGCUGGUGAAAUGUUCGGAUCGGCCGUUUGUCGCGGUUUCCGCGGCUCGUGGCUGAGAAGUUCAUUAAACCCUCCCACCUAGAGGAAGGAGAAGUCGUAACA
RNAcentral lists this ribosomal RNA (325 nucleotides) under uncultured eukaryote. RNAcentral's name for it is "partial 18S ribosomal RNA". It matches the Rfam family "Eukaryotic small subunit ribosomal RNA", at positions 1470 to 1796 of the family's 1831-position model. The record is from RNAcentral.